UAAAUAGUUGGCAUAGAUUUGCUAUUCUCGAAUUGGAAAGAUUUAAGAGAUUAUGAAUUUUACUGUUGCAUAAGUAUUUAUAAUAUUCUUUUGGUAGUGAAACGUUAUUCGAUUUUUAAUAUAUCUAGUUGUUCAGGAAAAAAAUUUAAUUUUGCCAGCUGGUGAGUAGCCCAAUUUUUUGGGUUAAUCUUGUUGCUGAGUAGUAUAUAUGGGGAUAAGCUCGUAUAUAAAUUUCUAUAAUUUUGAUUUAGAUUAAUUAAUUGUAGGAUUAGAAGUUUUCAUCAAUAGUAUAGUGUUAUAUCAGUUUUUUAAAAUAUUUUAUUUUUAUUUAAUUUAGGUUGUUUACUGAAUUUUUGAGUGGAAUUUUGUUUCUUAAGAAAUAAUGAUGGAAUUAGUAUAUAUAUAUGUAUUUAUAAUUUUUUGUUUUAGGUCAAACGAAGGAAUUCGGCAAAUACUUUUCCGCCUGUUUAUUAAAAACAUGUCCUUUUGAUGAUGAUUUAAGGUCUAACCUGCCCACUGAAAUUUUAAAGGCCGCGGUAUUUUGACCGUGCAAAGGUAGCAUAAUAAUUAGUUUUUUAAUUGAAAGCUGGAAUGAAUGGUUGAACGAGAGAAGUUCUGUCUCCGAUUGAUAAGUAGAAUUUUAUUUUUAAGUUAAAAAGCUUAAAUGAUUUUAAAAGACGAGAAGACCCUAUAGAGUUUUAUAUUUUGUUAUUUAUUUGGGUAAAUGGAUUUAUUUAUUUGGUUUAUGAUGAAAUAUUUUGUUGGGGCGAUAGAAAAAUUAAAUUAACUUUUUCUUAUUAUAACAUUUAUUUAUGAUUAUUUGAUCCGUUAUUAACGAUUACAAGAUUAAAUUACCUUAGGGAUAACAGCGUUAUCUUUCUUGAGAGUUCUUAUCGAAAGAAGGGAUUGCGACCUCGAUGUUGGAUUAAAAUUUACUUUUGGUGUAGGUGCUAAUAGGUUAGGUCUGUUCGACCUUUAAAAUUUU
Molecule: ribosomal RNA, 985 nt
Filed under: Streptocerus speciosus
Lineage: Eukaryota; Metazoa; Arthropoda; Insecta; Coleoptera; Lucanidae
Description: partial 16S ribosomal RNA
Rfam family: Archaeal large subunit ribosomal RNA (bases 416-985)
Source: RNAcentral